GGGUUAAUAGUUAAUUUUAUAAUAAAAGUCUUGUAAACUUUAGUGGGCUUAGUCCUUAACCCU
RNAcentral lists this transfer RNA (63 nucleotides) under Ruditapes philippinarum (Manila clam). RNAcentral describes it as "tRNA-Thr". The record is from RNAcentral. Lineage: Eukaryota; Metazoa; Mollusca; Bivalvia; Venerida; Veneridae.